RNAcentral lists this unclassified non-coding RNA (348 nucleotides) under soil metagenome. Its description in RNAcentral is "partial contains 5.8S ribosomal RNA, internal transcribed spacer 2, and large subunit ribosomal RNA". The stretch from base 1 to 120 matches the Rfam family "5.8S ribosomal RNA", at positions 35 to 154 of the family's 154-position model. The record is from RNAcentral.
GAUGAAGAACGCAGCGAAAUGCGAUAAGUAAUGUGAAUUGCAGAAUUCAGUGAAUCAUCGAGUCUUUGAACGCACAUUGCGCUCCCUGGUAUUCCGGGGGGCAUGCCUGUCCGAGCGUCAUUGCCGCCCUCAAGCACGGCUUGUGUGUUGGGCCCCCGCCCCCCGGCUUCGGGGGGCGGGCCCGAAAGGCAGCGGCGGCACCGCGUCCGGUCCUCGAGCGUAUGGGGCUUCGUCACCCGCUCUGUAGGCCCGGCCGGCGCCCGCCGGCGACCCCAAUCAAUCUUUCCAGGUUGACCUCGGAUCAGGUAGGGAUACCCGCUGAACUUAAGCAUAUCAAUAAGCGGAGGA